This 253-nucleotide ribosomal RNA is filed under the name uncultured bacterium. RNAcentral's name for it is "partial 16S ribosomal RNA". It matches the Rfam family "Bacterial small subunit ribosomal RNA", at positions 524 to 776 of the family's 1533-position model. The record is from RNAcentral.
UACGUAGGGUGCAAGCGUUAAUCGGAAUUACUGGGCGUAAAGCGUGCGCAGGCGGUUAUAUAAGUCAGAUGUGAAAUCCCCGGGCUCAACCUGGGGAAGGCAUUUGAGACUGUAUGGCUAGAGUGUGUCAGAGGGGGGUAGAAUUCCACGUGUAGCAGUGAAAUGCGUAGAGAUGUGGAGGAAUACCGAUGGCGAAGGCAGCCCCCUGGGAUAACACUGACGCUCAUGCACGAAAGCGUGGGGAGCAAACAGG